AGGGUUUGAUUAUGGCUCAGGACGAACGCUGGCGGUGCGCCUCAUGCAUGCAAGUCGAGCGAAGCUUUUCAGUAGUUUACUACAGAAAAUGACUAAGCGGCGAACGGGUGAGUAACGCGUGAGCAACCUACCUUAGUUACUGGGAUAGCCCGAGGAAACUCGGAUUAAUACCGGAUACUCUUAUUUAUUCACAUGAAUUUAUAAGGAAAGGUCAGCCGAACUAAGAUGGGCUCGCGUUCUAUCAGCUAGUUGGUAGGGUAAUGGCCUACCAAGGCAACGACGGAUAGCUGGUCUGAGAGGACGAUCAGCCACACUGGGACUGAGACACGGCCCAGACUCCUACGGGAGGCUGCAGCAGGGAAUAUUGUGCAAUGAACGAAAGUUUGACACAGCGACACCGCGUGUGGGAUGACGGAUCUAGGUUUGUAAACCACUUUCAGGAGGGAAGAAAAUGACGGUACCUCCACAAGAAGCCCCGGCCAACUACGUGCCAGCAGCCGCGGUAAUAC
This 509-nucleotide ribosomal RNA is filed under the name uncultured bacterium. RNAcentral's name for it is "bacterial SSU rRNA". It matches the Rfam family "Bacterial small subunit ribosomal RNA", at positions 8 to 526 of the family's 1533-position model. The record is from RNAcentral.